RNAcentral lists this non-coding RNA (23 nucleotides) under Rattus norvegicus (Norway rat). Lineage: Eukaryota; Metazoa; Chordata; Mammalia; Rodentia; Muridae. The record is from RNAcentral.
UGACCACGACUUAGCCCUCCUGU